AAUGUUGCUUGCUGUUGAAUACCUAAGGCCAACUUUGGUAACAACAGAACACAUUUAUGGAAAAAAUAGCAUUGAAUAUGGAAAUGAGCUGCAGAAAUAUUCUGAUCUUCUUCUCAAACGCCAUUGCUCAAACAAAUCGUGAACAUCUAUGUAAUGAUCAAGAAUACAGGAAUUUAAUUGAAGAAACGCGAUCUGUCCUUGAAAAGUCUUAUCAUAUUUUCUCCAUCCAUUAUGGUCCACAUCAUGAAGCACUAAAGGAACUGAAAGAUAAGCAGAAACAGCUUGAAAUGUUUGCUGAACAGUAGUUGAAACAAAUAUUGCAUUUCAAAUCCAAAUUUCUGCAGCAUCUUGCUUGAAGCCUUGAUGCUGUUUUUGCUAUGCUCAGUAUUUUCAGCAUGCAAGAGUUUUGGUCAAAGUUAACUUUUGUUGGAUAUCAAUUAAGUGAUGUGUGAUAUGUACAGGGUGUUUAAGAGAAGUUAAAAUGAUGUCUGAUAUUAUUCAUUACUUUUUUUUUUUUUUUUUUAAUUUGCUACAAAAAUGUAUCAAACCUUGAUUUGUGAAUAACUAAAAACAUGUAAUGUUUGCUUGUUUAGUUUAUUCUUUGUAAGCACCAUGCUAUCCACAAGCUAAUCAUUGCAAUUGUUUAUUGAUCUUUUUUGGUUUGCUUCCUCAUAAACAAAUCAUUAUAGUAAUUUUUUUUCAAAAGGGUAGUUUUUCAGCCCUAAUAAAUGUUUUCACUGCAUGGGUAAAUUAGUAAUAUUAUGUGAUUCUAAUUCUUAACAAAUAGCAUAAAUUUUGGCUUUUGUGACCUGGUUCCAUCCAUAGUGGUUAAAAUAAACCACUUCUCAUUCCUGAAUAUGAAAUAAGUUUGGGUAAUAAAAUUUCUGAAAUAUUGGACUUUUGCAGUGACCAGUUGUACAGAACUGUAUAGUUUCUUAUAAGAAAUAUUAUUUGUGAUUAUUUGUAUAUGAACAGGCUAUUAUGUAAUUUAAAUAAAAUUGUAUUGAUACUUAUUUUUAUAACAGCAGGAAAGAGAAAAGCACAGCAUGGCAUUUUCUAAUGAGAAGGAAAGUCAGAUAUUCUUUAAAAUAGUUAUUCAAAUUUAUUUUAUUGUGACAUUUUAAAGAAAGGAGGUGUAAUCAUUCUUCUGAAUGUGUAGGGAUAAUUUUAGCUUUAUAUUUUGUGAACAGAUUUUUGUAUUUCCUUUUUUUAAAAACUAUAUUGAUUAAUCAAAAUUCCACAUAAAUAAGUCUGGUUUCUUUUAAUAGUUCUUUCUUUUCUUUUUCUUUCUUCCCCCCCCCUUUUUUUAAAUAUUAAUUUCCUGAUUCUAAAAUGUUAACUGUCUUACAAAUUCUUUUGUGAAAUUAUAAUAAAUGAUUUGCCAUAUUUGUGUUAAAAUGACACUGUCAGGGUGAAAUUAUCUUUUAAACAAAUUAUCUGAACAUACUAUGGAUUUUAAAUACCUCAGUUGACUUAAAAGCAUAUGUAUAUAAAGUACGGAGUACAAGUCGUAUUCUAGUUCCAACAAGAAUUUUAGUCACUCUAGUAGUAGCUGACUAAAGAAGAAAAUUUGGAAUGGUAGGGAAGCUCCUGUAUUACUACCGUGUUUGAUCAGCAGAUUCUGGUUAUCGCCUAAGCCAUCUGAUUUAGGGAAGCCCUUAAGUCAUCUUAUAAUUCCUUAUAAUACUGCUCUUGUCUUAUAAAAACAAGUAAAAUGGCCAUUAGGAACCCGAUAAAAUACUCUGCAUAGGGCAUCAGAUUGUCUUCUCUAUUAGCCAAGAUAAUACAUAUGAAUAUCUUGCCUGGCCUUUGUGUUAAUUUUUAACUUUAAAACACACCAGCAAGCAGCAUUUUUAUAAUAUUUAAAAAAAAGAUUUAACAAUAAUCCAAAAAGCAGAAUAAGCUUCUCGUGUUAAAAUUCUGUCUACUAUAUUGGUGACUGUUUUGUUUUUAUAAAUUUUCAAUCUGUGCCGCUUGCUUUGUAAGCAGAUUUUCUGUUUAUAAUUGCUUAGACAAAGUAUCAGUAUCUGUUUUAUGCCAUUCUAUCAUUUACCUUUUCCAGAAGAGUUUUACAUUAUGCAGUUCUUCCUCAUUUUCAUUUGUGCUAUUUAUUCUUUUUGAGAAUAGUAAGUAUAUUGCUCUCAUUUUGUUUCUUAAUAUUGCUACAAAUCACCAGUCCCCCAUUUUGGUAUUUUAUAUUGGUAUUUAUGUUAAAGAAUUUUCAGCCUAAUUAUAGAUUAAAAUAUAUAGAAGAAAGUUAUCCUGAAUCGAAUAAUCAAGCAUCAGAUAUUCGAACAUUGGUUUAUCUGACAUCCACUCGUUUUAAACUGCUUAAAUCAUUAUUUAAAAUAUAAACAACAAAACAUCAACAAUUUAAUCUAGAUUAUCUGAGUUAAAAUAUAAAAGCAAUGUGAAAAGCAUUAUUCAUUUGUAAUAUUUCACUAGUUUUCUGUUAACUCAGUUAUUGGUGUAUGAUCUUCACACUAUAUAAUUUAAUAGUAAUUUAGAUAGUAUAGGUAAUAAUCUAUUUUUAAGGCAUUCUGCAACAUUAUAAUCUAUUAAAUAGCUUGUCAAAAAGUUCAUUUGAAUAAUCAAAUGGUGCUAAAAGAAUAUUUCAUUUUUUAACCUCUUUCCUCUUGAUGCAGAGAGAAUGAAUUCCUAUGUAACUUUAGAGCGAUGAACUGAGUGUAUUUUGCAUUUGAGUGCAACCCUCAAAGAAAGUCCUGUAAAAUAUGACUUUUAUCAAAAUACUUGGAUCCUUGAAUAUUUAUUAUUUUUCAGUAUAAUAAAGUAUUAAUAUUUAAAAUUAAAUUUUAAAAUAAAGUGCAGCAUUAAUAAUGAUUAUAUUUACAUAUUUGAAUUACUUCCAUGCAGUAAUGAAGGGGGGAAAAUUAAGAAUUUAACUAUCCAUAUAUAUUAUAGCCUGCCAUGAUAUAUAUUUAAAUUAAGCUGCCACACUGUAUGAAACAUUUCUGAACUCUGAAUAUGCAUUGUACAUUUUACAUUGGUAGAAGAAAACAGUAAAUAAUACUCAUAAUAAAACAGUUAAAGACAUUCCAUGUAGUUAAGUUUCAGGCAUAUUGACAUAAUUUUUGUGCAUUUAAAAUGUCAAGUACCAGUUAAACUUCAUUUCUGAAUCAUAUCUGAUAAGAUGGGCUCAGGGAGGGAAGCUAAAGUGUAACAUGUGAUAUGCUGUGAGCAAAAAAGUUAUUUUGAAUGUAAUGUUAAAAUAUUUGAAACAUUUCUGAUUUAAAAAUUAUUAAAAGUAGAUUUUGACUUGAAAUGAGGGAUUUCUUUUGAAUACAGUUUUGUUGAUUUAUGCAUGUAUAAUAUAUAAUAUUAUAUAAUAUUUAUUUUAUAAGAUUUAUUCAGGUAUUAUUUAUGUGUAUUUAUUUUGAAUAAUGAUUAUUAAAUUUUUUGCUAUGUUAAUAAUGGCAUCUUCUUUGCCAAAAUAUUAGUUUCUAGUUUGUAAAAUUUAAUGCCUUCAAAAAUUGUCAAUGCUUAUCUCUAAUUCCUGUUGAAUAUUUAUUGUUCCUAUCUUACCUCCUGUCCAGUAAAUGUUGUUAAGAGAAACAUUUUAAUGUGAAGGCUUAAGACAAUUAGUUUUUUCAUUUAAUUUCUUUCAUAAUGUAUUUAAAUAUUUGUGCUAAAAUGAAACUAAUGCAAACAAUUUUGUUAAAAUCUGUUUUCAGUAUAUGAAGCCAGAUCAAAAUAUCUAUGUCUGCUCCCUUUUUCCUUUUCUUUAUGAGUAAUUAAUUACAUUUUGAUCCUAAAAAUUUCUACAUUAUCUGAAUUAAGUUUUUUCCCCCCUAUUUGCCUUUUUGUAUGUAUUAUAAGUUGUAUAUAUUUUUUAACAUAAUGUUUUAAGUUUUAUGCAAAAAUGAAUAUUGUGUUUGAUAAAUAAAAGAGAUUAGAUUCUUACAUAAAUUGUGUGUAAUUAAUAACUUUCAUUUAACACCCUGUGUGUAACAGGAUCACUUGUAUAAUAUAUAUAUAUGAUAUACAAUGCUGUAUAUAAAGGAUCUCAUGUUAUGCUGUUUAUAUUCCAUGUUUUAGAAUGAGAGCCGUAGCUUUCUCAAGCUUUAGCACAAAUAUCUGUAUAUUUUUGUACAGUUAAUAUUGGAAAAGUUUAUGAUAUGUUCUUGUAGCAGAUAUGAAGGUUCAUGAAUUGUAAUGUGAUAUAAUUGAUGCCAUUAUACUGGUGCUGACUUGCAUUUUGAAAUUGAAUUUUUGAUCAUGAGACAAUAUUAUACAAUGGUGCAUUUUUAUUUAUCAACAGUAGCAUUUAUUUGGGAAAUAAGUUAAAUAAAAAGUAUGGAUUGGCAAAAAUCCACAAAUUUACUUUUGUAUUAUGUGCAUAAUUGUUGUGUUAAUAUAUCUUCCUAUAAAGCUGUAAUUUACUGAAUUAUAUUUUGCAGUCUGGGAUAUAAGAAGUGACACAUUAUCAAAAAUAAUGUCUUGAUAUCAUUAUGUAUUCAAUUUUUAAUAUGCAAGAUCUUUUUCCUAUUUCUCAGUACAUUACAGUAUGUGAACAUUCAUCUCUGUUUUCUGGCCUUUAUAAAACUAUGUUAAUGUGAAGUGUUACUUUUCACAUCUUAAUGUUAAAGACAAUCUGAUUCUUCAUUAUAAGCAUGCUUAAUUUGUGUUCCAUCUCUAUUCUUUGAUGUUUUUUAAUAGUGUUAUAUUGAAGUGCUUGAAUCUUUUUUCAUGCAUCAUACUGCUAAUGUUUUAGUUUUGUUUUCCUAGAAUGUCCGUUAUUCCGUCCUUUUGUCCAGAUUUAAUUCACAAAUGAAAAACACAUAAUUUAAACAUGGCAUUUUAAUUUUGCAUGAGAUGUAUUGAAAAGGAUGUAAUCAAAUUUGCUAAAACCUGUAGAAUUUUAUGUUUAUAAUUUUCUCAGUAUAAUUAAAUGUUAAUGUUGUGUAGUUCUUCUGUAUGUAGCUUUAAAGGAAUGAGAUGUUUUAAUGUAUUUAUUACAAAGUAUUUUGGAAGAGGUUAAAACUGAAAAUGUUGUCGUGUGGAUUAAUUUUGUAUUAGUUUCAUAACUUACAAAAGCUGCUAAAAAUUCUUAAGAAACCGAAAUAAGUUUCCAGUUUAAUAUGAAUUUUUCACAAAUUUAAUAGGUUUCUAGAUUUCUCAAGUUCUGUUUUAUUCAGAAUUUGAUUGCAUAUUCUCUGUACCUUUGAAUAAAAAUUAAUAAUAAAUCCAAUUAUGAGUUGGAAAACAACGCGAGAAGCCAUAAAUUGCUAAAACAAAGCAGGGAAUUUUGCAUACACUUUCACUUUUUUAGAUUUGUAGCCUUAUAUGUUAUGUCUGUUUUAUUAGAAGCCUUAAUAUUUGUGUGAAAACCAUAUUUUUAUAAUUAUGUUAAUUUAUUUAUAAUUAUUAUUUUUAAAAAAAGUAUCUUUUGUCGUUAUUGCCAUUGAUUAUAUUUCAGAGAAGUUGUGCAAGAAACCAUUUCUUAAUUUCAUUUAAUCUUUGUUAUGAAUGGUGAUUAAUUUUAAAAUUAAUUCACACAAAUUAGCUUUUUAUUAUAGGUAUAUAAGGUAAAGAUUACAAAAACAAAACAAACAAAAAAUUGGCUCCAAAAUUUUAAUCCAAAUAAUGAAUCUUCAAUGAAUUUUGUUUUAAAAGAUACAUAUUUUCAAAGAAGUUUCACAAAUUAUAAACAAAAACACAUGGUGACAAACAUACAGUAUGCAACCAGGAAAACAAAACAAAAAAAAAAAAAGUAUUAAUUCUAAAGAAUAAAUUUGCAUUUCAGCAGUCAUUAAAGAAUCAAAAAUGUAAACUAUUUCUGUCAUUAUUUUUGUAAAGCUUUCACAAAAUAAAUAUAAAACUAUUUAUUUAAUAGAUUUUGAUGUUGAGAAAUUGUCCAUACAUGCAUCGUUCCAUUAAUAUUCAUAAAUUUAGUCAACAAAAUUAUUACAGGUCUUAAGCUAUGCAGCAUAUGUUUUAACAUGAUGCUUUUAAUCAAAAUGAAUUUCUAAAUUUGUGCAUUUUAAAAACAGAGGAUUUAUGCAUCUCCUUUUUUGAAUUAAUACUUCAAAUUUUUAAAUUGAGACACAUUUGCUGUUUUUCUUUCUAAAAUAAUAUAAAAAAAAAAUAAAUAAAUAAAAAAAAAAUUUUAAAAAAAAAUUUAAAAAAAAAAAAAAAAAAACAGUUUCUUUGUUUGUUAAAUGCAUAUUCUUCCCCCUACCUCUUCUAAAAUCAAAAUUUCUUUGUACUUAAGCAAAACGUGCACAUUUUUCAUGCAAAGUUUAAUACUGUGCCUUAUAAGUAAAAUGAAAUUUCUUGCAGUGUUUCAUGCUGUGAAAUGUUUUAUCAUAUUGCACCUUUACUGUGAUGCAAAUUUGCCUCCUAUUUGUGAAAAUUUCUUAGUAAUCUCUGUGUUGCUUAUUUUAAAAUUUUAUGAAUAUUUGAUAUAGUUUUUCAGUUGCGGUGAUAUUGUUAUUCAGUUGAGUGUGGAUUGCUGCAUACUUGAAGUUGUAAAGCUACUGCUUAUUGAAUUCCAACCUUUGAUCAAAUUUUCUCAUGAAAUUUUGCAUGCAUUUUAAUAUUUGUAAUGUUUUUAUAUAUUUAAAAAAUAUGUUAUAUUUUUAUCUAUGUCUGUCAGCAUGUUAAUAAUAUGGCAACAGAUCAACCGCAUUUUUUUAAAAUAUGUCUGUAUGUUCCACCAAGGUUUUAAAUUUGUAUGAAAUAGCUACAGUAAAGAAUGCAGUAAGAAAUAAAAGGCUUCAAUGAUAACUUGUUGAAACAUUUGUCUACCUGUAGUUAGUUAUGUUUGUAUUUUAUUCUUCAUGUAUACAUAAGUAUUUUGUUGUAUUCAGUUAUAUAAAUUAUGUUUGUUCUUGUUUGUUUAAAAACAUGUAUAAUUUCAGCUAGUCUUGUUUAAAUACCUGUAGUCACACCCUCAUGUACACUCACACACAAAUGUAUUAAUAUGUUUUUUUAUAUAUUAGAAGCACAUUUUUUAUGUUGUUAUUUAUUUAUAAAAAUUAGCUUAGCUGGUGUCAUCCUUGCCAAGAGUUAAAUUAAUAUACUUUUAACAGUUUUAUGUUUUAAAACAUUUAAAUGUAUAUUAAGUACAUUUCUAAAAGGUGGUAUAGCUUUUGAUUAACAUUAUAAGUUACAUAUUGCUUAAUUUCCAUACGUGUCCUAUUAAUUAUUUUGAUGAGGCCUUUAAUGACAUUUUGAUUAGAACUCUUGAUAAAAAAAAUUUAUAAAUGGAGAAUAUUAAUUUAUAUAGCAUCUAAUUCUAUUAUUAAGCCAUGAAUAACUUUUAUGAGUUUUCAUAGAAAUGCUGCAGCAAUGAAUUUUAUUAUGUUAAUUUAUGUAUAUUUUAGCUCCACUUAAAAUUAAUCUCACUACUAACUAGCAGUUUGCUAUAUUUAUUGUAAAUAUUAUGCUAAUGAACAAAACUUUAGAGCACGUCUGUCAAAUCUGUAGUUAAAUCUCUUUGAAUUAAAAUAUAAUAUAGGAAAUUAUAUUAAAUAGUUUAGACAUUCUCAUAAGCUUAGACCUUUCCACAGAAAUAAAGAAAAUUAAGUAAAUUCGGAGUUUUAGAAUAAUUUCUAUUUGUGCUUAGCUUAUUUCUUCAAAUUUUCUCUAUAAUGAUAUUUAGAAUUUCGAAUGAGAAUCUUAGUAUAGAAAACUGAAAUUUAUGAGGUUGCUGCUGCCUGAAUUUGCUAAAUUUCGUUUUCUUUUUAAUUCUAGUUUUAAAACACUUUUUGUUCUGAGUAAAAACUUUUAUUUUGGAUUUUGUGCAAUAGGUAAGUUUACAUGAACUUUAAAAUGUUUGUUUGUGUAUUUGUAAAGCUGUUUUAUCAACAUUUGUAAAUAGUGUAUUUAAUAAUAUGUUUAAAAGAGGAAUUUAUAUUUUAUGAAAAAAGAAUGUAAAAUAUAAAGAACUUUCAUAUGAAAACUAUAUGGUAUAACUACAAACUGUGAUGAAUUGUAUAGUAUCAGAAUGAAGGCAGUGUAAGAUCAGUAAAUGGAUAUUCUUUUUGGAUUAUAAUAAUAUUAUUUUGGAACUUGAGGAUGUUUAUUUCAAUCCAUAUAUUGUGAAACAGAGCUCAUAAUUUUAUGAAAUUGAAUAAACUAAUAUUUAGUAUAUAAUAUGCACUUCUUAAAAGCAGAAACCUUCAGAAUUGAAAUUUUUAAAUUUGUUAUUUUUAUAAUAGUUUAUUUACAAUGUUCGUAAAUGCUGAAUUUAAUUAUAAAAUUUGAUCAGUAAUCAAUAUAUUUUUUUUUUUUUUUUUUUUUUUUUUUUUUUUUUUUUUUUUUUUAAUUCUGAAAAUUUAAGCAUCUCCUUUCUUUACAGAAGGGAGAAAUUUUUUUUAAUGUAAUCAAAUAAUGAUAGCAUCAAUUUCAUAUUAUGUAUAAAAAAUUUUCAUUUAUAGCUUUCAGAUUUGAUUUAUUUUCAAAGAAGAUGGAUCUCUUUUAAACAAAUUAUGUCCUUGAUUCUUGUAACUGAAAACUGAAAUUACUUUUUCAGUACAGUUGUAGUUUUUCCUUCAAAGUUGUGCUAAGUAAGAAUUAUUCACAAAUUCACGUGCAUUACAUUCCUUGAAUUUUACUAGCAUUGCAUUCUUCCCUAUCUGUUAGUUGUAACUUAUAUACCUCCUCAUAGGUUAAGAUUAAUUUGACAUCAUCCAUAAAUUAUUUUCUCUGAAUAAGUAGUAAUUUGACCUAUAUAUGAUUUUAUGUGUAAGGUAUGAAUCUUUUCAAAGGUUGCUAUAGACUGUAUUCUUUGCUCUUAAUCUUUAAAUAUUCCAGCUUUCUGCGAGUAUGCAGUACAUUUAUGUGAAAGGAUUAUCGCACAUUUGUAAAUAGUCUCUACUGUUCUCAUUCUCUCUUAUCCAAGUAAAUCACAAGAUUGUAUCAGUCGCUUUUUAUUGAAUUUCCAAGAUUGUAAUUAACAUCCACUGCUCAAAUAAAAUUGAUCAACAGAUAA
This is a long non-coding RNA of Stegodyphus dumicola, 8956 nucleotides long. NCBI's taxonomy places the organism in Eukaryota, Metazoa, Arthropoda, Arachnida, Araneae, Eresidae. The record is from RefSeq and is a predicted model, not a curated record.